This 169-nucleotide ribosomal RNA is filed under the name uncultured soil bacterium. RNAcentral describes it as "partial 16S ribosomal RNA". It matches the Rfam family "Bacterial small subunit ribosomal RNA", at positions 338 to 524 of the family's 1533-position model. The record is from RNAcentral.
CCUACGGGAGGCAGCAGUGGGGAAUAUUGGACAAUGGGCGAAAGCCUGAUCCAGCAAUGCCGCGUGAGUGAUGAAGGCCCUAGGGUUGUAAAGCUCUUUUACCCGGGAUGAUAAUGACAGUACCGGGAGAAUAAGCCCCGGCAAACUUCGUGCCAGCAGCCGCGGUAAU